This 868-nucleotide long non-coding RNA is filed under the name Malus domestica (apple). RNAcentral's name for it is "long non-coding RNA (MDOM_LNC004046)". The record is from RNAcentral. Lineage: Eukaryota; Viridiplantae; Streptophyta; Magnoliopsida; Rosales; Rosaceae.
ACGUCGGGUUGCAAACUUCAAUCUGAUUGACGAUGGCGAUCUGACCUUGACCAUCGCACCAAACAAACACCGAUCCUUUGAUUCAAAGGUACAAUAUCGAAGACGCAGUGAGACAAAGAAAGCGUUUUUCUUCGAUCCAUAAACAACAAAAUGACUUUCAAAUUGUUUUGCAGGACCAAAACGUCGGACGGGGGUGAGUCAAUUGCAAACGUUCCGAGCUGCGAGGUGAUCUCCCUGUCAAAUGAGAUGUGCGUUUCGAUACGGGGGAUGAAACACGGGGAAGGGUACAGAGCUGGGUAAGGACUGAGAAAUUUCAGGAGAGGGAUCGUCUGUUUGUCGAUUGUUGUUAAAAUAAAGAUAUAUAUAUAUAUAUUGCAAAACCUUUCUAUCUCCCCCAUUUCUCAAUUUGUUGGUUGAAAAAGGAUAAGCAUUAUCCAUCUAAGUCCUUAAAUUAAGAAUUGCUAAUCCAAUCCCCAUAACAAACCCAACACUUCAACCGCUGUUCCUAAACUACAAGAUAAACGAUGAGCAGCAUCAAUCUAAAAUCAAAAUCCAACACUUUGCGACGGCUGCGCCUUGGCUGUUGUUGCAACGUGAAUGGGAUAAAGGAGGGAAAACACAAGAAUGAAGAAGAUGAGAGAGAGAGACAGAGAGACAGAGAGAUAGAGAGAGAGAGAGAGAGAGAUUUAUUAAUUUUUAGGCAUUAAAAAUUAUUUUUUUAAAAUUUCUUAAUUAUCUCUACUAAUUAAUGAAAUCCUCUUUGUCAACCAAAAAAUGGUGAAAAGACAAAUUAGUCUUUUAUCACACAAAAAACUGAUGGGAAAUAAUGCAAUUUUACAGAUCCAAAUUUUACUGUUUUUUAUUGAAG